GAUGAACGCUGGCGGCGUGCCUAAUACAUGCAAGUCGAGCGAACGGACGAGAAGCUUGCUUCUCUGAUGUUAGCGGCGGACGGGUGAGUAACACGUGGAUAACCUACCUAUAAGACUGGGAUAACUUCGGGAAACCGGAGCUAAUACCGGAUAAUAUUUUGAACCGCAUGGUUCAAAAGUGAAAGACGGUCUUGCUGUCACUUAUAGAUGGAUCCGCGCUGCAUUAGCUAGUUGGUAAGGUAACGGCUUACCAAGGCAACGAUGCAUAGCCGACCUGAGAGGGUGAUCGGCCACACUGGAACUGAGACACGGUCCAGACUCCUACGGGAGGCAGCAGUAGGGAAUCUUCCGCAAUGGGCGAAAGCCUGACGGAGCAACGCCGCGUGAGUGAUGAAGGUCUUCGGAUCGUAAAACUCUGUUAUUAGGGAAGAACAUAUGUGUAAGUAACUGUGCACAUCUUGACGGUACCUAAUCAGAAAGCCACGGCUAACUACGUGCCAGCAGCCGCGGUAAUACGUAGGUGGCAAGCGUUAUCCGGAAUUAUUGGGCGUAAAGCGCGCGUAGGCGGUUUUUUAAGUCUGAUGUGAAAGCCCACGGCUCAACCGUGGAGGGUCAUUGGAAACUGGAAAACUUGAGUGCAGAAGAGGAAAGUGGAAUUCCAUGUGUAGCGGUGAAAUGCGCGGAGAUAUGGAGGAACACCAGUGGCGAAGGCGACUUUCUGGUCUGUAACUGACGCUGAUGUGCGAAAGCGUGGGGAUCAAACAGGAUUAGAUACCCUGGUAGUCCACGCCGUAAACGAUGAGUGCUAAGUGUUAGGGGGUUUCCGCCCCUUAGUGCUGCAGCUAACGCAUUAAGCACUCCGCCUGGGGAGUACGACCGCAAGGUUGAAACUCAAAGGAAUUGACGGGGACCCGCACAAGCGGUGGAGCAUGUGGUUUAAUUCGAAGCAACGCGAAGAACCUUACCAAAUCUUGACAUCCUUUGACAACUCUAGAGAUAGAGCCUUCCCCUUCGGGGGACAAAGUGACAGGUGGUGCAUGGUUGUCGUCAGCUCGUGUCGUGAGAUGUUGGGUUAAGUCCCGCAACGAGCGCAACCCUUAAGCUUAGUUACCAUCAUUAAGUUGGGCACUCUAAGUUGACUGCCGGUGACAAACCGGAGGAAGGUGGGGAUGACGUCAAAUCAUCAUGCCCCUUAUGAUUUGGGCUACACACGUGCUACAAUGGACAAUACAAAGGGCAGCGAAACCGCGAGGUCAAGCAAAUCCCAUAAAGUUGUUCUCAGUUCGGAUUGUAGUCUGCAACUCGACUACAUGAAGCUGGAAUCGCUAGUAAUCGUAGAUCAGCAUGCUACGGUGAAUACGUUCCCGGGUCU
This 1372-nucleotide ribosomal RNA is filed under the name uncultured bacterium. RNAcentral describes it as "bacterial SSU rRNA". It matches the Rfam family "Bacterial small subunit ribosomal RNA", at positions 28 to 1381 of the family's 1533-position model. The record is from RNAcentral.